GAGGGUAUUGCUCAGUGGUAGAGCACGUGCUUAGCAUGUACAAGUCCUGGGUUCAAUUCCCAGUAUCUCCA
RNAcentral lists this transfer RNA (71 nucleotides) under Camelus bactrianus (Bactrian camel). It matches the Rfam family "tRNA". From Rfam's summary of the family: Transfer RNA (tRNA) molecules are approximately 80 nucleotides in length. RNAcentral also lists the same sequence under 2 other names. Lineage: Eukaryota; Metazoa; Chordata; Mammalia; Artiodactyla; Camelidae. The record is from Rfam by way of RNAcentral.